Molecule: ribosomal RNA, 400 nt
Filed under: uncultured bacterium
Lineage: Bacteria
Description: bacterial SSU rRNA
Rfam family: Bacterial small subunit ribosomal RNA
Source: RNAcentral
UGGGGAAUAUUGGACAAUGGGCGCAAGCCUGAUCCAGCAAUACCGCGUGUGUGAAGAAGGCCUGCGGGUUGUAAAGCACUUUAAGUUGGGAAGAAAAGCUGUAUGCUAAUACCAUAUAGUGUUGACGUUACCAACAGAAUAAGCACCGGCUAACUCUGUGCCAGCAGCCGCGGUAAUACAGAGGGUGCAAGCGUUAAUCGGAAUUACUGGGCGUAAAGCGUACGUAGGUGGCUGAAUAAGUCAGAUGUGAAAUCCUCGAGCUCAACUUGAGAAUUGCAUUUGAAACUGCUUAGCUAGAGUAUGGUAGAGGGAAGUGGAAUUCCACGUGUAGCGGUGAAAUGCGUAGAUAUGUGGAGGAACAUCAGUGGCGAAGGCGACUUCCUGGACUAAUACUGACACU